CCAACAAUCCAAACUCCAAGUGUGGGGGAGGUAUGUGAGUGUCCCGAGUAAGUUCCUUUCAUGCCAAAUCUUAUUUUGGUUUAGAGAUGGUGUUAGUUCUUGCAUCUUGCUCUACUAAAAUAAUUAAAAAUAAUAAAAAAUUAAAAGAAAAAAAACAAAAGAGGAGUUACCACGGCGACAAUUCAGAAUUCUUCAUUAACAAAAUGCCAUGGUAAGUACCUUCAGGUAUGUCCUGCUUUUGACUUGAAACAAAGCCCUUCCUGGAGGUCGCACAAAGUUCACCAGUCUUGUGCUCAUGUUUACCUCUCCUCUUGAAUAUAGCUUGAUCAUGCUUUCAUACUUCCUUUAUCUAUGCUCGUAUGCUCUGAUUUGAAUAUAUGUUGCAACAUACAUUCAUAGGCCUUUUAAAUUAAACAUGGUGCUUAGGUUAAAAUGUAUUUCUUCAAUCAAACAAGACAUGGUGUUGAGUUUGAUUAAUGAACCUUAGGGUUAAUAUUUUCAUAGAUCUUGGUUGUAUAUGUGAACUAACCCUUGCAAGAAAAUCCGAACUGGUAAGUCGUUGAGCUUGAUUCAAGUGGGAAGACAAACCAAGGCAUCGGAUUCAUGUUGCACAAUAUACAAAGGAGGUACAUAUAACCCUUCAAGGGUCCACCCCCUUUUGCUUAUACUAAUGCAAUUUUAAUUUAGCCUUGUUUGAGUUAGAUCUCAUGGUGAAAAUAAAAUAAUAAUAAAAAUCCCAAAAAUAUUUGAGUUCCAAUAAAAUUAGGCUCCCUAGUUCUCGAACCAGCAGUCCCCCUUUUUGUUUCCACUUUUUUGUUUGAAUAAAGCACCAUGUACAAGCACAAGUGUGUGUGUGGGUGGGAGGAGAGGAUCUCUCAAGCUCAUCGACGUACACACACUCGAGAUCUACCACAAAGGUGUCUCACAACAUCGACUGUGCCAACAUGACAAGGGACAAGGCGAGGGCACCAGAAGAAGUCAGCUACCCCCAUGGUUUGGCCGAACCACCACUGGUCCGCCUCGAUCCCCAUCUUCUUCAAGAGCGAUGGUAUGUGCAUUCUACCUCUCUACUCCUUGGUUUAUGAGUUUAAAUGAAUUUCAUCUCUAAUCAUUAAAAAUUAAACUUAGAAUUAAAAUGAACCUUGGCUGAAAACAUUCUCCUUAUGGCUGGCAUACAUGUUCAAUAUUCCUAGCUUGUACCUGUUUGCUUGUGAACCUAUAUCUUUAGGAAAGCAUGCAACCUAGGUUGUUGAUGUUUGAGAUAUGAGAUGAUAAAAUGAACCUUGCUCUACUCUGUCCAAAGUACUUGGAAAAUUUAUCUUGAAAAACAAUGACCUAGCUAGCUCCUCAAUGAUAUGCCUCCAUCCUACCAAAGCCAUAUCUUGAUCUUAUUGAAAAACCUAUACACAUAUGCUGCUUGCUAUCAUGUUGAGCUUUGCCAAAUUAUUGUGACCCUUGUGGAAUAUUCUUCAUACUUUCAUGAUCAAGAUCAUAUACACCCCACUUUCAUAUACUAGACUUCUAUACUAGAAGCUUGUAACAUCCCA
RNAcentral lists this long non-coding RNA (1547 nucleotides) under Setaria viridis. RNAcentral describes it as "long non-coding RNA (SVIR_LNC000255)". Lineage: Eukaryota; Viridiplantae; Streptophyta; Magnoliopsida; Poales; Poaceae. The record is from RNAcentral.